AAAUGGUUAAAAGCGUUCCCUUCGGGGGGAAAAAAAGGUCUUGGGUUCGAUCCACGGGAUCAGAAAGGUUCAUGUGCCAGAACUGCUGCAGCGGGGCACACAGAAUAAACCCAGACCAUACAAUUCCUUGAAGUGGGCCCCGAGGGGGACGCCACACUAUGUUUGAAGACUUUAAGCAAUCUAUGAUGGUUGAAUUUGAUAUGUCUGAUCAUGACAUCAAGCAUUAUUUUCUUGGUAUUGA
RNAcentral lists this long non-coding RNA (241 nucleotides) under Theobroma cacao (cacao). Its description in RNAcentral is "long non-coding RNA (TCAC_LNC002818)". The record is from RNAcentral. Lineage: Eukaryota; Viridiplantae; Streptophyta; Magnoliopsida; Malvales; Malvaceae.